Molecule: ribosomal RNA, 667 nt
Filed under: uncultured organism
Description: bacterial SSU rRNA
Rfam family: Bacterial small subunit ribosomal RNA
Source: RNAcentral
GUAGGGGUAAUAUCCGUAGAUAUGCAGUAGAAUACCAAAAGCGAAGGCAGCUUGCUGGGCACAUACUGACGCUCAAGGACGAAAGCGUGGGGAGCAAACAGGAUUAGAUACCCUGGUAGUCCACGCCGUAAACUAUGAUAACUCGCUGUUGGAGGUUCGACCCCUCCGGUGGCUAAGUUAACGCAUUAAGUUAUCCGCCUGGGUAGUACGGUCGCAAGAUUAAAACUCAAAGGAAUAGACGGGGACCCACACAAGCGGUGGAGCAUCUUGUUUAAUUCGACAAUAAGCGGAGAACCUCACCAGGACUUGACAUCCCGAGAAGGUCGCAGAAAUGUGACUGUGCCUUUAGGAACUCGGUGACAGGUGCUGCAUGGUUGUCGUCAGCUCGUGCCUUGAGGUGUUCGGUUAAGUCCGUAAACGAGCGCAACCCAUGUCCAUAGUUGUAUGUUUCUAUGGAGACUGCCGGCUCUAAGUCGGAGGAAGGUAUGGAUGACGUCAAAUCAGCAUGGCCCUUAUGUCCUGGGCUACAAAGGUGCUACAAUGGCCGGUACAAAAGGCAGCCAAGGAGUAAUCUGGAGCAAAUCCUUAAGCCGGUCCAANGUUCGACUUGAGGNCUGAAUUCGCCCUCAUGAAGUUGAAUCGCUAGUAACCGUGAUCAGCAUGUCAC